CCUCUGGCAGAGCAGAUCUAUGCAACCACAUAUGUUAGAGGUCCAAAGCUUAACUUCACCAGACAGAGAUCCUGAUGCAGCUCUUCAUACAAUACUAAAAUGGAUUUCCCUUCAGGUCUCAAGUACAUGAUCAUAAUUGUUCCAUAAAAGACACUGACCACAGCAAGGAAAGAAUGAAUGGCUGAUUACUGACAACAUUCAAAAGAGAUGCAAUUCUUUCACUUUAAAUUUUUAGAUUGCCAAAGCUGUAUAGAAAAAAUAAAAAUGAAAUAAAAACUGUUU
Molecule: non-coding RNA, 282 nt
Organism: Pantherophis guttatus
Lineage: Eukaryota; Metazoa; Chordata; Lepidosauria; Squamata; Colubridae
Source: RefSeq, a predicted model, not a curated record